UGCUGGAGGUAUCAGAAGUGCGAAUGCUGACAUAAGUAACGAUAAAGCGGGUGAAAAGCCCGCUCGCCGGAAGACCAAGGGUUCCUGUCCAACGUUAAUCGGGGCAGGGUGAGUCGACCCCUAAGGCGAGGCCGAAAGGCGUAGUCGAUGGGAAACGGGUUAAUAUUCCCGUACUUGGUGUUACUGCGAAGGGGGGACGGAGAAGGCUAUGUUGGCCGGGCGACGGUUGUCCCGGUUUAAGCGUGUAGGYKKGUKUUCCAGGYAAAUCCGGAAAAUCAAGGCUGAGGCGUGAYGACGAGGCACUACGGUGCUGAAGCAACAAAUGCCCUGCUUCCAGGAAAAGCCUCUAAGCAUCAGGUAACAUCAAAUCGUACCCCAAACCGACACAGGUGGUCAGGUAGAGAAUACCAAGGCGCUUGAGAGAACUCGGGUGAAGGAACUAGGCAAAAUGGUGCCGUAACUUCGGGAGAAGGCACGCUGACACGUAGGUGAAGUGAUUUACUCAYGGAGCUGAAGUCAGUCGAAGAUACCAGCUGGCUGCAACUGUUUAUUAAAAACACAGCACUGUGCAAACACGAAAGUGGACGUAUACGGUGUGACGCCUGCCCGGUGCCGGAAGGUUAAUUGAUGGGGUCAGCGCAAGCGAAGCUCCUGAUCGAAGCCCCGGUAAACGGCGGCCGUAACUAUAACGGUCCUAAGGUAGCGAAAUUCCUUGUCGGGUAAGUUCCGACCUGCACGAAUGGCGUAAUGAUGGCCAGGCUGUCUCCACCCGAGACUCAGUGAAAUUGAACUCGCUGUGAAGAUGCAGUGUACCCGCGGCAAGACGGAAAGACCCCGUGAACCUUUACUAUAGCUUGACACUGAACAUUGAGCCUUGAUGUGUAGGAUAGGUGGGAGGCUUUGAAGUGUGGACGCCAGUCUGCAUGGAGCCGACCUUGAAAUACCACCCUUUAAUGUUUGAUGUUCUAACGUGGACCCGUWAYCCGGGUUGCGGACAGUGUCUGGUGGGUAGUUUGACUGGGGCGGUCUCCUCCUAAAGAGUAACGGAGGAGCACGAAGGUUGGCUAAUCCUGGUCGGACAUCAGGAGGUUAGUGCAAUGGCAUAAGCCAGCUUGACUGCGAGCGUGACGGCGCGAGCAGGUGCGAAAGCAGGUCAUAGUGAUCCGGUGGUUCUGAAUGGAAGGGCCAUCGCUCAACGGAUAAAAGGUACUCCGGGGAUAACAGGCUGAUACCGCCCAAGAGUUCAUAUCGACGGCGGUGUUUGGCACCUCGAUGUCGGCUCAUCACAUCCUGGGGCUGAAGUAGGUCCCAAGGGUAUGGCUGUUCGCCAUUUAAAGUGGUACGCGAGCUGGGUUUAGAACGUCGUGAGACAGUUCGGUCCCUAUCUGCCGUGGGCGCUGGAGAACUGAGGGGGGCUGCUCCUAGUACGAGAGGACCGGAGUGGACGCAUCACUGGUGUUCGGGUUGUCAUGCCAAUGGCACUGCCCGGUAGCUAAAUGCGGAAGAGAUAAGUGCUGAAAGCAUCUAAGCACGAAACUUGCCCCGAGAUGAGUUCUCCCUGAGACUUA
RNAcentral lists this ribosomal RNA (1568 nucleotides) under Salmonella enterica. RNAcentral's name for it is "partial 23S ribosomal RNA". The record is from RNAcentral. Lineage: Bacteria; Pseudomonadati; Pseudomonadota; Gammaproteobacteria; Enterobacterales; Enterobacteriaceae.